Molecule: long non-coding RNA, 547 nt
Organism: Pieris napi
Lineage: Eukaryota; Metazoa; Arthropoda; Insecta; Lepidoptera; Pieridae
Exons: 4
Source: RefSeq, a predicted model, not a curated record
UCGCAUGUUCAAAGUAAAUAAAAAUUAUAGUUUUAAAAUGGCACCUCCGACUAUAGCAAUUUAAUGUCAUUAAAUGACAACGUAUAAUGCACUGCAUUGUUAUUUACGGUAGAGUUAAAAUUAAUUGUCUGGCUAUAAAAUCCAAGCGCGAACUUGAUUUAUUGUUAGUGUUAUUUUUUAUUUGAUAAAACAGGUCUUAUAGCGAAAAUGUUUAAAUACUUUGUUGUGCUCUUUAUAAGUGCAAUGUUUAUCGGGAAUAGUAAGCAACAAGGGCCGGGUGGUGGCGCGGGUGGUCAAGCCGAUUUUGGCAUGCAGGCAGGUGGAAAUGGAGGGUUCGGUGGUGGCGGACCUAACGGAGGCGGUGACGCUGGAUUUGGGGCUGGGUUUAACGCAAACGCGGGAGCACGGGGAGACGCAGGGCAAGGCGGGAAUAAAGGGUAACAUACGAGCGUAAAACGAGGAACCUACUUUAGUACGAUACAAUUUAAAAAAAAGUGUAGCAUCUCACUUUAAUAAUAAACUGCAUACCUUACAUGUGUUAAUAUUU